Non-coding RNA from Schizosaccharomyces pombe (fission yeast), 201 nucleotides. Lineage: Eukaryota; Fungi; Ascomycota; Schizosaccharomycetes; Schizosaccharomycetales; Schizosaccharomycetaceae. The record is from the annotation of a GenBank genome assembly.
AGCUUGAUUUAGGAAUAUGGGUUUACCGCAGAACUCUAGCUCUUCCAAUCAACCGUUAUUACCUCGAAAGGUAUAACAACUCAACAAGACCUUAUAUUGUCUCCAAUUCUAUAUGUUACGUUAUGCUGUUAUAAACAGAAGAAACGGUGUAUCUGCUGUUGAAUAAGUUUUUGCAUUCUUAUCACUUGGAUGUAUUAUUAC